GUUGAAGGACAAGAAGGCUGAGUCUGACGAAUGAAAACUUGUUGACACAUUCCUCCUAGACAAAGGGGUGGUGAGAGCAGCACUUACUGGAGACACCCCAGGCUGGACUGUACUCCCCAACAUUA
This is a non-coding RNA of Onychomys torridus (southern grasshopper mouse), 125 nucleotides long. RefSeq annotates it as small Cajal body-specific RNA 4. The record is from RefSeq and is a predicted model, not a curated record. NCBI's taxonomy places the organism in Eukaryota, Metazoa, Chordata, Mammalia, Rodentia, Cricetidae. The transcript has a single exon.